CGCCUCUUGAAAACUAUAAGAGGUCCAGCCUGCCCAGUGAUAUUAUUAAACGGCCGCGGUACCCUGACCGUGCGAAGGUAGCAUAAUCACUUGUUCUCUAAAUAAGGACUUGAAUCAACGGCAUCACGAGGGUUAUACUGUCUCCUCUUUUUAAUCAGUGAAACUGACCUCCCCGUGAAGAGGCGGGGAUAUUUAUACAAGACGAGAAGACCCCAUGGAGCUUUAAACCCAAUAACAGCCCACAUUAAAUUUUCCUAAAGAAAAGAAAAGCAAUGUUUAUUGGUUUUGGGUUGGGGUGACCACGGAGAAAAACUAAACCUCCACGAUGAAUGAACCUUAAUUCUAAUCUACGAGCUACUGCUCCAAGAAUCAAUAAUUUGACAUAAUAUGAUCCGACAACGAUCAACGAACCAAGUUACCCUGGGGAUAACAGCGCAAUCCAUUUCAAGAGCCCCUAUCGACAAAUGGGUUUACGACCUCGAUGUUGGAUCAGGGUAUCCCAGUGGUGCAGCCGCUACUAAAGGUUUGUUUGUUCAACAAUUAAAACCCU
RNAcentral lists this ribosomal RNA (550 nucleotides) under Limnonectes kuhlii (Kuhl's wart frog). Its description in RNAcentral is "partial 16S ribosomal RNA". It matches the Rfam family "Bacterial large subunit ribosomal RNA", at positions 1819 to 2597 of the family's 2925-position model. The record is from RNAcentral. Lineage: Eukaryota; Metazoa; Chordata; Amphibia; Anura; Dicroglossidae.